This 377-nucleotide ribosomal RNA is filed under the name uncultured bacterium. RNAcentral's name for it is "bacterial SSU rRNA". It matches the Rfam family "Bacterial small subunit ribosomal RNA", at positions 523 to 898 of the family's 1533-position model. The record is from RNAcentral.
AUACGUAGGGGGCGAGCGUUGUCCGGAAUUACUGGGCGUAAAGGGCGUGUAGGCGGCCUGAUAAGUCAGAUGUGAAAACCCCGGGCUUAACCUAGGGAUUGCAUUUGAAACUGUUGGGCUUGAGGGCAGGAGAGGAAAGCGGAAUUCCCAGUGUAGCGGUGAAAUGCGUAGAUAUUGGGAGGAACACCAGUGGCGAAGGCGGCUUUCUGGACUGCACCUGACGCUGAGGCGCGAAAGCUAGGGGAGCGAACGGGAUUAGAUACCCCGGUAGUCCUAGCCGUAAACGAUGGGUACUAGGUGUGGGAGGUAUCGACCCCUUCCGUGCCGCAGUUAACGCAAUAAGUACCCCGCCUGGGGAGUACGGCCGCAAGGUUGAA